UNANANAUGCAGUCNANGNUAGCAGGAAGGAAGCUUGCUUUCUUUGCUGACGAGUGGCGGACGGGUGAGUAAUGCUUGGGAAUCUGGCUUAUGGAGGGGGAUAACUGCGGGAAACUGCAGCUAAUACCGCGUAAAGUCUUUGGACUAAAGGGGGCGUUUGCUCUUGCCAUAAGAUGAGCCCAAGUGGGAUUAGGUAGUUGGUGGGGUAAUGGCUCACCAAGCCGUCGAUCUCUAGCUGGUCUGAGAGGAUGACCAGCCACACCGGGACUGAGACACGGCCCGGACUCCUACGGGAGGCAGCAGUGGGGAAUAUUGCGCAAUGGGGGGAACCCUGACGCAGCCAUGCCGCGUGAAUGAAGAAGGCCUUCGGGUUGUAAAGUUCUUUCGGUGAUGAGGAAGGCAGUUUGGUUAAUAGCCAAGCUGAUUGACGUUAGUCACAGAAGAAGCACCGGCUAACUCCGUGCCAGCAGCCGCGGUAAUACGGAGGGUGCGAGCGUUAAUCGGAAUAACUGGGCGUAAAGGGCACGCAGGCGGAUUUUUAAGUGAGGUGUGAAAGCCCCGGGCUUAACCUGGGAAUUGCAUUUCAGACUGGGAAUCUAGAGUACUUUAGGGAGGGGUAGAAUUCCACGUGUAGCGGUGAAAUGCGUAGAGAUGUGGAGGAAUACCGAAGGCGAAGGCAGCCCCUUGGGAAUGUACUGACGCUCAUGUGCGAAAGCGUGGGGAGCAAACAGGAUUAGAUACCCUGGUAGUCCACGCUGUAAACGCUGUCGAUUUGGGGGUUGGGGUUUAACUCUGGCGCCCGUAGCUAACGUGAUAAAUCGACCGUCUGGGGAGUACGGCCGCAAGGUUAAAACUCAAAUGAAUUGACGGGGGCCCGCACAAGCGGUGGAGCAUGUGGUUUAAUUCGAUGCAACGCGAAGAACCUUACCUACUCUUGACAUCCAGAGAAUCCUGUAGAGAUACGGGAGUGCCUUAGGGAGCUUUGAGACAGGUGCUGCAUGGCUGUCGUCAGCUCGUGUUGUGAAAUGUUGGGUUAAGUCCCGCAACGAGCGCAACCCUUAUCCUUUGUUGCCAGCGAUACGGUCGGGAAC
This is a ribosomal RNA of 1091 nucleotides. It matches the Rfam family "Bacterial small subunit ribosomal RNA", at positions 49 to 1138 of the family's 1533-position model.